UACGUAGGUGGCAAGCGUUGUCCGGAAUUAUUGGGCGUAAAGCGCGCGUAGGCGGUCCCUUAAGUCUGAUGUGAAAGCCCACGGCUCAACCGUGGAGGGUCAUUAGAAACUGGGGGACUUGAGUACAGAAGAGGAAAGCGGAAUUCCACGUGUAGCGGUGAAAUGCGUAGAGAUGUGGAGGAACACCAGUGGCGAAGGCAGCUCGCUGGGACGGUACUGACGCUGAGACGCGAAAGCGUGGGGAGCAAACAGG
RNAcentral lists this ribosomal RNA (253 nucleotides) under uncultured bacterium. Its description in RNAcentral is "partial 16S ribosomal RNA". It matches the Rfam family "Bacterial small subunit ribosomal RNA", at positions 524 to 776 of the family's 1533-position model. The record is from RNAcentral.